This 479-nucleotide ribosomal RNA is filed under the name uncultured bacterium. RNAcentral describes it as "partial 16S ribosomal RNA". It matches the Rfam family "Bacterial small subunit ribosomal RNA", at positions 28 to 507 of the family's 1533-position model. The record is from RNAcentral.
GAUGAACGCUAGCGGGAGGCCUAACACAUGCAAGCCGAGCGGUAGAGUCUCUUCGGAGACUUGAGAGCGGCGCACGGGUGCGGAACACGUGUGCAACCUGCCUUUAUCUGGGGGAUAGCCUUUCGAAGGGAAGAUUAAUACCCCAUAAUAUACUGGAUGGCAUCAUCUGGUAUUGAAAACUCCGGUGGAUAGAGAUGGGCACGCGCAAGAUUAGAUAGUUGGUGAGGUAACGGCUCACCAAGUCAGCGAUCUUUAGGGGGCCUGAGAGGGUGAUCCCCCACUCUGGUACUGAGACACGGACCAGACUCCUACGGGAGGCAGCAGUGAGGAAUAUUGGACAAUGGGUGAGAGCCUGAUCCAGCCAUCCCGCGUGAAGGACGACGGCCCUAUGGGUUGUAAACUUCUUUUGUAUAGGGAUAAACCUAGAUACGUGUAUCUAGCUGAAGGUACUAUACGAAUAAGCACCGGCUAACUCCGUG